This 1916-nucleotide long non-coding RNA is filed under the name Homo sapiens (human). Its description in RNAcentral is "HSALNT0108386". Lineage: Eukaryota; Metazoa; Chordata; Mammalia; Primates; Hominidae. The record is from RNAcentral.
GUAAGUAAAUGGAUUUUCUUGGCUCUGUUCUCUCCCACCCACAACCUUUUUUGGAGGAACAUUCAUUAACUGUAUCAAGAAUUUCAAGUUGAGGGAGCCACAUGUCUUAAAUUUUUCUUUACAUCCUUAACUGACAAAGUUAAUAUAUUCAGAUCAUAAAGCCAAGUUGGGUUUAGGUUCAGUGAUUCAGUGAGUUAUGAAUUACUGACACCCAGCUUUGUUUUGGUCCACUGGGAAAUUUUCUGUCAAAAAUGUCCACUUCAAGACUCUAGGACAAAGAUUAGUCAACAAAUUUAGAGUACUUAUUAUGAGUACUUAUUAAUAAAUACUUACUGAGUGUCUACAAAGAACUUAAAAUGGUUUAGCUGAGGCAAUUAUUGCAAUAACCUGGUGAAGUAGAUUCUCUUAUUUUCCCUUCCCAAUUUUACUGAGGAGGAAACUGAAGCUCAAAGAGAAUCUCUCAUGCAAGCAACGUCAUACAACUAAAGAUAAGCAGCAGCAGAGGAAAUUUUGAGGACUGUCUGCUCCCUAACUCCUCCCUGCAUCAGAUCUCCCUUCAGCACCCUGGGCUCCUCUCCAGUUCCCUGGCCUCUCUUCUGGGACAUAGAACUCAUUCCUGUGGAUGUGUAAGAACGCUGAUGCCUUAUUCCUCCAUGGCCAGGGAAUAUGUUCAUGAUACAGGAAGAGGACAAGAAAAUGAGCAUUCAUGUGGAAAUAUUAGACAUCUCUCUAGGUGGGUAUUUCAGUACAGGGUCUACCCAUCCCCCUUCAAAUCUGCCCUGUAAGUGACUGCAGAAGUUGAAACUUCCAACACUUGAGGCUCCAUCUUAGAGGCAUCAUUCCUCAUUUGGAAACAUCAUUGCCAGAGGCAGAAAUGGCCCAGCAAGUAAACUUUUUUUGGGGGGGUAUAUAAAAUCAAUUAUUAAAUAAAAUAUUGCAGAAGACUGUAGUUAUAUAGGAAAACUUUUUGAAUUUACUUAACAAUGAGAUAUGAAAGGGAAGAAUUCAAUUCUACCCCCGUGGAACUGACAAUAGGAAAAAUGUUCUCCCUUUCAGACUUGAGAAGGUUUUACUGCUAAGAUCUGCGGAUGGAAUAAUCAGGCUGAAUACAAACAUGCUUUUCUUCUCCGAUAGUGCUUAGGAAGCAGUGGUACUUGCACAACUGUUUGUAAGGGGGAGUGAAGUGAGUUGUCAUCUCAUAGUAAUCUGCCUCUCUCUAUCAUCGGCACAGUUCCUAUUUUUUAUUCCCCUCCGGCUUGCUUAGAUUUUCUUUUGGUUUAUUCUCCUGAAAAGUCUUAGAGAGCAUGAGCUAAUAUCAACUAAAUCGUAAAUAUUUAAAGGCAGGCACAAUAUCUGGUAGUUACUGGGUUAUGACCAUGUAAUGCUUGGUGUGAAACCUGAAUUGUUUUUACUUUGUAUUAGGAAUUAAUACCUAUUACUAAACCUGUAUAAAUAAUAAAGUGGCUGGGAAAAAGACAUAAAAUGAGAAAUUGCUACCAUAGAAACUACCAAUGUUUCCACACUGUCACUGUGGUAUAAAAGAGCUCCGUUUUUAAUAAUUUACCAUUAAAAAUGAAUUUUCUCCAAAAGACCACUUCUAUAGUAAUAUCUCAAUUCCCCAAGAUUAUCUAUCAGAGAUAAAAACCAAAGCUGCCUAAUAUCCACAGUCUAGGGAAGAAUUCAAUUAGCAAAUUCAUGUGUGAGGCUCUGCUUGCACUAGAAAUUCUAGUUUAGGUGAGAAUUUUGGUACUGAUUAUGAUUUUUAGUAGCAUCUAUGUCCCUCAUGAAUCUUAACAUUUCAAGCCAGAUUUAUUUUUAUGUGUUAAUAUUCAAGUACAAGAUCUUACAUAAAUAACUAUACAAGCAAGACUGGAUGUGAAAACAGACAUACAAUAAAUGCACUUGUCAUUUUCUAU